Molecule: ribosomal RNA, 513 nt
Filed under: uncultured bacterium
Lineage: Bacteria
Description: partial 16S ribosomal RNA
Rfam family: Bacterial small subunit ribosomal RNA
Source: RNAcentral
GACGAACGCUGGCGGCGUGCUUAACACAUGCAAGUCGAACGAAAAGAGGGAAAGAGCUUGCUCUUUCCGGAAUUGAGUGGCAAACGGGUGAGUAACACGUAAACAACCUGCCUUCAGGAUGGGGACAACAGACGGAAACGACUGCUAAUACCGAAUAAGUUCCAAGGGCCGCAUGGCCCAUGGAAGAAAAGGUGGCCUCUACCUGUAAGCUAUCGCCUGAAGAGGGGUUUGCGUCUGAUUAGCUGGUUGGAGGGGUAACGGCCCACCAAGGCGACGAUCAGUAGCCGGUCUGAGAGGAUAAACGGCCACACUGGAACUGAGACACGGUCCAGACUCCUACGGGAGGCAGCAGUGGGGAAUCUUCCGCAAUGGGCGAAAGCCUGACGGAGCAACGCCGCGUGAGUGAUGACGGCCUUCGGGUUGUAAAACUCUGUGAUCCGGGACGAAAAGGCAGAGUGCGAAGAACAAACUGCAUUGACGGUACCGGAAAAGCAAGCCACGGCUAACUACGUG